GCUCGUAGUUGAAUGUCGAACUUAUCUACGUUGCGGCUUUCAGUCGAGACGUUAGGUAGUUCUCCGUCUGCAAAGCUCCUUGGCCUUUAAACGGGCUAAUUUGAUGAGUAGACAAUUUACCUUGAAAAAAUUAGAGUGUUCCAGGCAGGUCUUAGCCGGAAUACAUUAGCAUGGAAUAAUGGAAUAGGACUUUUAUCCUUUGUUGGUUUGAGGGUGAGAGUAAUGAUUAAUAGGGACAGAUGGGGGCAUUAGUAUUUAAUUGUCAGAGGUGAAAUUCUUGGAUUUAUUAAAGACUAACUUAUGCGAAAGCAUUUGCCAAGGAUGUUUU
Molecule: ribosomal RNA, 328 nt
Filed under: Paramecium polycaryum
Lineage: Eukaryota; Ciliophora; Oligohymenophorea; Peniculida; Parameciidae
Description: SSU rRNA
Rfam family: Eukaryotic small subunit ribosomal RNA
Source: RNAcentral